This 126-nucleotide small RNA is filed under the name Marmota monax (woodchuck). Lineage: Eukaryota; Metazoa; Chordata; Mammalia; Rodentia; Sciuridae. The record is from RNAcentral.
GCCAGGUGUAGUGGUGCACACCUGUAAUCCUAGCAGCUCAGGAGGCUGAGACAGGAUUGCGAGUUCAAAGCCAGCAUCAGCAAAAGCUAGACACUAAGAAACUCAAUGACACUAAGCCUGUCUCUG